Long non-coding RNA from Drosophila sulfurigaster albostrigata, 2259 nucleotides. RefSeq lists it as uncharacterized. The record is from RefSeq and is a predicted model, not a curated record. The transcript has 2 exons. Lineage: Eukaryota; Metazoa; Arthropoda; Insecta; Diptera; Drosophilidae.
ACAACUACAAUUGCCAUUAUUACACACAGCUCGAUAUAAAGAAAAAAAAGGAAUUUACUCUCGUUGACAUUGUUUUUGUUGGUGUUGUUGUUGUUGCUGUUUUGGGCGCGCGCCAUGCCAAAUUGAUCACACAUACACCCACACAACACUUGCCUACAUACAUACAUGCAUAUUACAUGCUGUAAUAAUUGUAUGUGUACACACUGUUUUAAUUCCGACUCAAAACGCCAUCUGGCGACCGUAGUUUUUGAGCUUUGGUGCGUGCUAAUCGCAAAUUAUAAACACUGGUUUCUUGUGCGCAAAAAUAAAUAACGAUGACGGCUGCCUGUUGCACAUUUGCUGCAAAAAGUUCGUUGACCGAAAGUUUGUGACUUUGAUUUUUUGUACUCUUUUUUUAUUUGUGCAUUUUUAAUGCAUUUGCCUCCCACCCUUGACUACUGUGGCUAACGACAACGACGACGGCCUUAAACUUAAAGCUCGCUGCGCACUCCCCGCUAGGGCAGCAACUCUUGUAAAGUGCACUACAGCAGCCACUGUGCUUUGUUUAUGUGUCGCUUGUAUUCAAAAACUCUACUAUAGACAUAAAAAAUACAUACAUAAAAUGUGUAUAUGUGUGUAAGUACGUCUAGAACUAAGUACAGGGCCCCCGUCUGGGUCUUGGCCGGCUUGCGUGGGAAGGCCGGGAUCGUCGCGUCGUCUGGCGUGGUUCACACACACACCCAGACACACAAAUACAUAAGCACACACAGGAGGAGGCUUUGGCAUUUCACAUUUUAAAUACUGAAAUGCAUGUCUAGGCGCUUACCUGCGUUGCCACUCUUUAUUUUUUCUUUUAUUGAUUUACAUGACGUGUAUGUGUAUGUGUGUGUGUGCAUUUUAGGCCCAUCAGCUGUCGGCUUUUCGAUUUGUCUGUCAAUCAAAAGUUUCCGAUUGAAAUCUUUGAACUGCGGCGGGUAUACAUAUAUUUUUCGCAGCUCCAUCUCCAUCUCCGACUGCUUCAUUUCCGCUACAAUUUUCAAUUAACUUUUAAACUUUUUGCUAAUUGCAUUUGCUAUAAUUGCAUUUCACAACACUACACCACCAACCAUCACUGCGAUUGGUUGUAGCGACACCUGGUGACUGCGCUUAUCAGGCGCAGACACGCUUGCUUCCCUCCCUGUCAUCUCCCCCCGCCAGCUAAGAGCUAAGUGAGCAGAACGUUGCUCGACGUCGUUGUCGGUUUUUUAUGACAACAUCAACAGCAUCAGCAGCAGCAGCGGCAACAUCAUCAUCUGCAUUUGCAUCCACCAUCCUCAUUAAGAGCCCAGAGCUCUCAAUCCCAACAGAACACAACACAACACACACAUACACAUACACAGAAGAAACCAUCCACCUACCCAUUACCUUGCCCCAUGGCAACGUCAACAUUUUAAAUUACAAAAAUUUUUCCAUGCAAUUUCAUGUCUGGGGCUGGCCUUACAGUUUGGCAGCCACUGUGCUUAGUCAAUCAAUUAGCAUGGCCAUGCGAGAGAGCUUCGCAUUAGUAGUAGAAGCAGCAGCAGCAGCAACACCACAAACAAAACGAAACACGAAACGUAACGAAAAGAAAACAAAACAAUACAAAUGAUACAAAUUUGAACUAGUUUCCGAUGUCCAUUAACCAUUCCACUUAUUUAACCCAUUGCCGCCCACUGUGCGUGUUUUUACUCUCUCUCUAUCUCACUCUCUAAAUAUAUGUAACAAACUCUUUUGUUAUUUAUUUUGGCCAAUAUUUUUUUGUUUUGUUGGUUCGGUGAAACUUUCGUUAUUCUGGGCCGUUGCUAUCUUUGCAGCACAGUCUUAAAUAGAAGCGACUAUAUUAACAAACAAAACACACAAAAAAUCAAAUAACGAUUAAAAGAUAAGGCAUAAGCAAUUUGUUGUAUACUCUACAUACAUAUGUGUAUCGUUAAUCGUUGUUAUCGUUAUCGCAGUAAAUAACCAAAAUACCGUGCAGUGUCAAGUGUUUGGAAUUUUGUUUUGCCAACAGUUUGUUCAGUGCAUUUUGAAACUAACCGCAACCAGUGCUGCUCAAAUUGCGCCCAAUUUUUAACAGCCAACAGCCAGCGCAUCUUUAACUGUACGUUCAUAUAUUCUGAUUGGAAAAUAAGAAUAAACAAAAAUACCACCACUAGCACCACCAACCAACCAACCACCACCCACCACACCAUAAAUUCACCACAGCAGCAACAACACUGUAUCCUCCUACACCAAAAAAAAAAAAAAAAAGAAAAACAAAAA